UAUUCUCACUUCGCGGUUAAAGCUCGACUGUUUUCUUCAUCCGAUUUGUUUCUUUUGUCGCCCUUCAAUAUCCCCACUACGCACUCGUUCGUUAGGCAUCCGCCACUGUUGCCACGUACUCCUUUUUCCAAAUAUUCGGCGGAAGGAUCGUAGGAAUAUCGAAGGCUCAUUAGGCCUGUUGGCCUUACGCUUCGCUGAUGUACUUUGUGUACCAACGAAACCGUUAGAAAGUUUUGUUGUCGAAUGCCGCUACAGUCUAAUAUCAAAUGUUACAAGAUUUUCUACGAGUACGGCGGCCUUGAGCAAGGCCGUGGCAUUGAAAUCCAAGCGCCGCUUUAAUUUAUACCGGACGUUGAACCCUCGGCUGGCUUACACGACUACUUCACCGACUGGAGCAACUGCAUAAUACUCCAGCUGCAUAUAUACAUACUAUACAUACGUG
This 442-nucleotide unclassified non-coding RNA is filed under the name Bombus terrestris (buff-tailed bumblebee). RNAcentral describes it as "misc RNA ENSBTSG00005033425.1". Lineage: Eukaryota; Metazoa; Arthropoda; Insecta; Hymenoptera; Apidae. The record is from RNAcentral.